UGAUAUUCUUAUUGGGCUAGUGUAACUCAUCCCUUAUUUAACCAUUUCAGAUUAAGAGGACCAGGAUCAAGAGCCCGAUUCACAAGAGGGUUGCGAAUAGAAUACCAGUUUUAUUUAUUUUCUGUUUAUUUCCUUAAUUUUUUUGUAUUUCCUUCAAAAUGGUAAUUUCCGUAGCACUAUUUAGUAUUUUAAGUUAUUGUGUAAGGAAUGUAAACUCUAACAAAUUAU
This 228-nucleotide long non-coding RNA is filed under the name Carica papaya (papaya). RNAcentral's name for it is "long non-coding RNA (CPAP_LNC016332)". Lineage: Eukaryota; Viridiplantae; Streptophyta; Magnoliopsida; Brassicales; Caricaceae. The record is from RNAcentral.